Molecule: ribosomal RNA, 255 nt
Filed under: uncultured bacterium
Lineage: Bacteria
Description: partial 16S ribosomal RNA
Rfam family: Bacterial small subunit ribosomal RNA
Source: RNAcentral
UACGUAGGGUGCGAGCGUUGUCCGGAAUUAUUGGGCGUAAAGAGCUUGUAGGCGGUUUGUCGCGUCUGCUGUGAAAAUCCGGGGCUCAACCCCGGACUUGCAGUGGGUACGGGCAGACUAGAGUGUGGUAGGGGGAGACUGGAAUUCCUGGUGUAGCGGUGGAAUGCGCAGAUAUCAGGAGGAACACCGAUGGCGAAGGCAGAUCUCUGGGCCGUAACUGACGCUGAGGAGCGAAAAGCGUGGGGAGCGAACAGG